This 72-nucleotide transfer RNA is filed under the name Bacillus cereus. RNAcentral describes it as "tRNA-Asn". It matches the Rfam family "tRNA". Rfam says of the family: Transfer RNA (tRNA) molecules are approximately 80 nucleotides in length. Their secondary structure includes four short double-helical elements and three loops (D, anti-codon, and T loops). The record is from RNAcentral. Lineage: Bacteria; Bacillati; Bacillota; Bacilli; Caryophanales; Bacillaceae.
UCCGCAAUGGCUCAGUGGUAGAGCAUUCGGCUGUUAACCGAAGGGCCGCAGGUUCGAAUCCUGCUUGCGGAG